RNAcentral lists this unclassified non-coding RNA (347 nucleotides) under soil metagenome. RNAcentral's name for it is "partial contains 5.8S ribosomal RNA, internal transcribed spacer 2, and large subunit ribosomal RNA". The stretch from base 1 to 120 matches the Rfam family "5.8S ribosomal RNA", at positions 35 to 154 of the family's 154-position model. The record is from RNAcentral.
GAUGAAGAACGCAGUGAAAUGCGAUAAUUAAUGUGAAUUGCAGAAUUCAGUGAAUCAUCGAGUCUUUGAACGCACAUUGCGCCCCCUGGUAUUCCGGGGGGCAUGCCUGUCCGAGCGUCAUUGCUGCCCUCAAGCACGGCUUGUGUGUUGAGCUUCCGUCCCUGGCAACGGGGACUGGCCCAAAAGGCAGUGGCGGCACCAUGUCUGGUCCUCGAGCGUAUGGGGCUUUGUCACCCGCUCCCGUAGGUCCAGCUGGCAGCUAGCCUCGCAACCAAUCUUUUUAACCAGGUUGACCUCGGAUCAGGUAGGGAUACCCGCUGAACUUAAGCAUAUCAAUAAGCGGAGGA